GCGGUACCGGUUCACGUCCGUAAGGGCGACCCGGCGACC
Molecule: non-coding RNA, 39 nt
Filed under: unclassified sequences
Description: L31-Actinobacteria ribosomal protein leader
Rfam family: L31-Actinobacteria ribosomal protein leader
Source: RNAcentral